Molecule: ribosomal RNA, 300 nt
Filed under: uncultured Ralstonia sp.
Lineage: Bacteria; Pseudomonadati; Pseudomonadota; Betaproteobacteria; Burkholderiales; Burkholderiaceae
Description: bacterial SSU rRNA
Rfam family: Bacterial small subunit ribosomal RNA
Source: RNAcentral
AACGGCAGCAUGAUCUAGCUUGCUAGAUUGAUGGCGAGUGGCGAACGGGUGAGUAAUACAUCGGAACGUGCCCUGUAGUGGGGGAUAACUAGUCGAAAGAUUAGCUAAUACCGCAUACGACCUGAGGGUGAAAGUGGGGGACCGCAAGGCCUCAUGCUAUAGGAGCGGCCGAUGUCUGAUUAGCUAGUUGGUGGGGUAAAGGCCCACCAAGGCGACGAUCAGUAGCUGGUCUGAGAGGACGAUCAGCCACACUGGGACUGAGACACGGCCCAGACUCCUACGGGAGGCAGCAGUGGGGAA